AUGAACGCUGGCGGCGUGCCUAAUACAUUCAAGUCGCGCGAACGGACGAGAAUCUUGCUUCUCUGAUGUUAGCGGCGGACGGGUGAGUAACACGUGGAUAACCUACCUAUAAGACUGGGAUAACUUCGGGAAACCGUAGCUAAUACCGGAUAAUAUUUUGAACCGCAUGGUUCAAAAGUGAAAGACGGUCUUGCUGUCACUUAUAGAUGGAUCCGCGCUGCAUUAGCUAGUUGGUAAGGUAACGGCUUACCAAGGCAACGAUGCAUAGCCGACCUGAGAGGGUGAACGGCCACACGGGAAGUGAGACACGGUAGCGACACCUACGGGAGGCAGCAGAAGGGAAUCUUCCGCAAUGGGGGAAAGGAUGACGGAGGAAAGCGGAGUGAGUGAUGAAGGACUUCGGAUCGUAAAACUAUGUUAUUAGGGAAGAAGAUAAGUGUAAGUAACUGUGAACAUAAUGACGGUACCUAAAAAGAAAGCCACGGCUAACUACGUG
RNAcentral lists this ribosomal RNA (496 nucleotides) under uncultured bacterium. RNAcentral describes it as "partial 16S ribosomal RNA". It matches the Rfam family "Bacterial small subunit ribosomal RNA", at positions 30 to 507 of the family's 1533-position model. The record is from RNAcentral.